GUAAUUUAAAUGUUUUUAUAGUUUAAAAAAAACAUUGGUCUUGUAAAUCAAAAAUAAGAAAUUUCUUUAAAAACU
RNAcentral lists this transfer RNA (75 nucleotides) under Mallika jacksoni. Its description in RNAcentral is "tRNA-Thr". The stretch from base 12 to 75 matches the Rfam family "tRNA". Rfam says of the family: Transfer RNA (tRNA) molecules are approximately 80 nucleotides in length. Their secondary structure includes four short double-helical elements and three loops (D, anti-codon, and T loops). Further hydrogen bonds mediate the characteristic L-shaped molecular structure. tRNAs have two regions of fundamental functional importance: the anti-codon, which is responsible for specific mRNA codon recognition, and the 3' end, to which the tRNAs corresponding amino acid is attached (by aminoacyl-tRNA synthetases). tRNAs cope with the degeneracy of the genetic code in two manners: having more than one tRNA (with a specific anti-codon) for a particular amino acid; and 'wobble' base-pairing, i.e. permitting non-standard base-pairing at the 3rd anti-codon position. The record is from RNAcentral. Lineage: Eukaryota; Metazoa; Arthropoda; Insecta; Lepidoptera; Nymphalidae.